AUGAACGCUGGCGGCGUGCUUAACACAUGCAAGUCGAACGGAAAGGCCCAAGCUUGCUUGGGUACUCGAGUGGCGAACGGGUGAGUAACACGUGGGUGAUCUGCCCUGCACUUCGGGAUAAGCCUGGGAAACUGGGUCUAAUACCGGAUAGGACGAUGGUUUGGAUGCCAUUGUGGAAAGUUUUUUCGGUGUGGGAUGAGCUCGCGGCCUAUCAGCUUGUUGGUGGGGUAAUGGCCUACCAAGGCGUCGACGGGUAGCCGGCCUGAGAGGGUGUACGGCCACAUUGGGACUGAGAUACGGCCCAGACUCCUACGGGAGGCAGCAGUGGGGAAUAUUGCACAAUGGGCGCAAGCCUGAUGCAGCGACGCCGCGUGGGGGAUGACGGCCUUCGGGUUGUAAACUCCUUUCGCUAGGGACGAAGCGUUUUGUGACGGUACCUGGAGAAGAAGCACCGGCUAACUACGU
RNAcentral lists this ribosomal RNA (465 nucleotides) under uncultured bacterium. RNAcentral describes it as "partial 16S ribosomal RNA". It matches the Rfam family "Bacterial small subunit ribosomal RNA", at positions 29 to 506 of the family's 1533-position model. The record is from RNAcentral.